GAUCUCUCAUAAACAACAUCUCUAGUUUCAUAAGAUAGAGGUGCAGGAAAACUGGAGCUUGGAAUAUACUAAAACUCAAGGCUAGAUUGAUCUCUUGCAAAAGAACCACAAGUAAAAUCUAUGAUUGGCAUUAUAUGGAAGACAUUAUUUUUAAAAUUAUUUUUCAAGCAUUAUAUGGGAGAAGAUCUUUGAUUCAAUGAACUUGAAGAAUUUGCAAAACUUGGAACAACAGCUUGAUUCUGCUCUUAAGCUUAUUCGUUCAAGAAAGGUUAGGUUUCAGCUUUCUUGUUCUUUUCACUCUUACUUUUUAUUAACAAUUUAUUUGAGAUUGAGAAAUAAUUUUUAUUGACUUUUGCAUCAAACAUAAAUUGAGUCUAUUAAGUAGAUUAUCAAAAUUAAUAAUCACUAAAUUGAAAACUAACUUUCUGUCUUUACCAUCUGUAAGAACGUCUCAAUAAAAUUAAUGAUCUAAAACUAAAUUUUAA
This is a long non-coding RNA of Capsicum annuum, 485 nucleotides long. RefSeq lists it as uncharacterized. The record is from RefSeq and is a predicted model, not a curated record. Lineage: Eukaryota; Viridiplantae; Streptophyta; Magnoliopsida; Solanales; Solanaceae. The transcript is spliced from 3 exons.